AUGAAAUUGUUACUUGUCCAAAUUUUUUUUACUAAAAAUAACCUUUUUACAUCUUAAGUUGAUUAAAGGAACAAAACGAAUUUAAACAAUAGAACUGAAUUUGAUCUUUUUCUUUUGAAAUACUUUUCAAAAAUAUGAGUCAAUUACAAAAAAAAAGGAUGACGAAAGAUACCAAAGGGACAGCCAAACCCACAAAUCCAAAACAAACUGACAACGCCAUGGCCAAAAAUGAAAAAGACAAACAAACAACAACACACAAGACACAACACAGAAAACCAAAGAAUAAACAACUCGAACCCCACCAAAAAACUAGGGGUGAUC
Molecule: long non-coding RNA, 321 nt
Filed under: Mytilus galloprovincialis (Mediterranean mussel)
Lineage: Eukaryota; Metazoa; Mollusca; Bivalvia; Mytilida; Mytilidae
Source: RNAcentral